Drosophila melanogaster (fruit fly) is the source of this 811-nucleotide non-coding RNA. Lineage: Eukaryota; Metazoa; Arthropoda; Insecta; Diptera; Drosophilidae. The record is from Ensembl.
AGCAGUUGGCUCGAAUUGGGAGGCGCUGGACUAGAUUCCAUCCUGCAUUCGUCCAGUUUGCCAGCACUUUUCAAAGUCACUUUUGUCUUUGGCGGAGUGGAGCGGAGAACACUGUGGAAGUUGUUGGCCAAAACCAAGUCAAGAGGUUAACCCGUUUAGCUCUCAAUCAUACACAAUAUCAAUUUGAAUGCACAGAGGCGGGCGAGGCAAAGCGAAUCGCAUUCGCCAGGGCAACUAUGAAAAUUGAAAAACCCCAUUUUAUCAUGGCGAACACGUACGGGAAGAGCACAAAUUCCACAGCAGCUACAGAACUCCGGCAGAAACAACAAUCAGGCGGGAACAAUAUUUACUGCGUGCGCACCAAAGUAUGCAGCAAGAAAAAUCACAAACGCAGGAUGAUAACAGGACGACAAAGGACAUCAAGGGGAGUGGAGUGGCAGGAGCAGUGAGCAGCGAGCACGAUGACAAUGUUAAAAAUGACAACUUGGCAACAAUUAUAUUCCAGGACGAGUGUGGGCGGCUGUGUGUUGUCCCGCAUAUGAACAAGAAAAUGGAAACAACAAUGUCAACAGUAUCAACAUGGCGUAUGAGCAACGUUCAAUUGGAAACCCAUUCGAUUCAAGUGGCAACAAUGCGAUAAACUGUUCCAACAUCCAGCAGCAACGUUUUGCAUUUGCCCAUUCAUUGGUAGAUUGUGCAGGAAAUUGAGGGCGCGGUGUGCCGCCACCAGAUGCCAACAACUUAAGUGCUCUGCAUACACAAAUAUGAAUAUAAAAACUGUUUUAAAUAUAAUUUUGGGCACAACUCGCCC